Molecule: ribosomal RNA, 494 nt
Filed under: uncultured bacterium
Lineage: Bacteria
Description: partial 16S ribosomal RNA
Rfam family: Bacterial small subunit ribosomal RNA
Source: RNAcentral
GAUGAACGCUAGCGGCAGGCCUAACACAUGCAAGUCGAGGGGUAUAAGUCUUCGGACUUUGAGACCGGCGCACGGGUGCGUAACGCGUAUGCAAUCUACCUUGUACAGAGGGAUAGCCCAGAGAAAUUUGGAUUAAUACCUCAUAGUAUAUUUGAAUGGCAUCAUUUAAAUAUUAAAGUUCCAACGGUACAAGAUGAGCAUGCGUCCCAUUAGUUAGUUGGUGUGGUAACGGCACACCAAGACGAUGAUGGGUAGGGGUCCUGAGAGGGAGAUCCCCCACACUGGCACUGAGACACGGACCAGACUCCUACGGGAGGCAGCAGUGAGGAAUAUUGGUCAAUGGAGGCAACUCUGAACCAGCCAUGCCGCGUGCAGGAUGACGGUCCUAUGGACUGUAAACUGCUUUUAUACGGGAAGAAAAAGAGUUACGUGUAACUUAUUGACGGUACCGUAAGAAUAAGGAUCGGCUAACUCCGUGCCAGCAGCCGCGGUAA